Molecule: ribosomal RNA, 370 nt
Filed under: uncultured organism
Description: bacterial SSU rRNA
Rfam family: Bacterial small subunit ribosomal RNA
Source: RNAcentral
CGGAGGGUGCAAGCGUUAUCCGGAUUUACUGGGUUUAAAGGGUGCGCAGGCGGAUAUGUAAGUCAGUGGUGAAAUCUCCGGGGCUUUAACCCGGAAACUGCCGUUGAUACUAUAUAUCUUGAAUGCUGUGGAGGUAAGCAGAAUAUGUCAUGUAGCGGUGAAAUGCUUAGAGAUGACAUAGAAUACCUAUUGCGAAGGCAGCUUACUACGCAGAUAUUGACGCUCAUGCACGAAAGCGUGGGGAUCAAACAGGAUUAGAUACCCUGGUAGUCCACGCCCUAAACGAUGAUUACUCGACAUACGCGAUAUACAGUGUGUGUCUGAGCGAAAGCAUUAAGUAAUCCACCUGGGAAGUACGAUCGCAAGAUUG